RNAcentral lists this small RNA (27 nucleotides) under Arabidopsis thaliana (thale cress). Its description in RNAcentral is "ATSL017220". The record is from RNAcentral. Lineage: Eukaryota; Viridiplantae; Streptophyta; Magnoliopsida; Brassicales; Brassicaceae.
AAUGGAUAUCUAUGUGAAGAAGACGAG